CCUACGGGCGGCUGCAGUGGGGAAUAUUGGACAAUGGGCGAAAGCCUGAUCCAGCCAUGCCGCGUGUGUGAAGAAGGCCUUCGGGUUGUAAAGCACUUUCAGUGGGGAAGAAAGCCUUGGGGCUAAUACCCUCGAGGAAGGACAUCACCCACAGAAGAAGCACCGGCUAACUCCGUGCCAGCAGCCGCGGUAAUACGGAGGGUGCGAGCGUUAAUCGGAAUUACUGGGCGUAAAGCGCGCGUAGGCGGUCUGAUAAGCCGGUUGUGAAAGCCCCGGGCUCAACCUGGGAACGGCAUCCGGAACUGUCAGGAUAGAGUGCAGGAGAGGAAGGUAGAAUUCCCGGUGUAGCGGUGAAAUGCGUAGAGAUCGGGAGGAAUACCAGUGGCGAAGGCGGCCUUCUGGACUGACACUGACGCUGAGGUGCGAAAGCGUGGGUAGCAAACAGGAUUAGAUACCCCAGUAGUC
Molecule: ribosomal RNA, 465 nt
Filed under: Vreelandella stevensii
Lineage: Bacteria; Pseudomonadati; Pseudomonadota; Gammaproteobacteria; Oceanospirillales; Halomonadaceae
Description: partial 16S ribosomal RNA
Rfam family: Bacterial small subunit ribosomal RNA
Source: RNAcentral